UACAGAGGGUGCGAGCGUUGUUCGGAAUUACUGGGCGUAAAGCGCGCGUAGGCGGACCUGCAAGUCGGGGGUGAAAUCCCCAGGCUUAACCUGGGAACUGCAUUCGAGACUGCAUUGCUAGAGUAUGGGAGAGGGAAGUGGAAUUUCCGGUGUAGCGGUGAAAUGCGUAGAUAUCGGAAGGAACAUCAGUGGCGAAAGCGACUUCCUGGACCAAUACUGACGCUCAUGUGCGAAAGCGUGGGGAGCAAACAGG
Molecule: ribosomal RNA, 253 nt
Filed under: uncultured bacterium
Lineage: Bacteria
Description: partial 16S ribosomal RNA
Rfam family: Bacterial small subunit ribosomal RNA
Source: RNAcentral